This 1200-nucleotide ribosomal RNA is filed under the name Triticum aestivum (bread wheat). Its description in RNAcentral is "partial small subunit ribosomal RNA". Lineage: Eukaryota; Viridiplantae; Streptophyta; Magnoliopsida; Poales; Poaceae. The record is from RNAcentral.
AUGUCGUCGUUCGCCGGCGUAACUGUCCUCGACGGACACAACCAGUGCCAUUGCGAAAUGUCGGGCGUCUACGCCAGCGCCGGUGUGGACGCCGGGUACCACCUGCUCAUUGUCAAGGGCUACUCGCGUACCAAAGAGUUCUUCCCCACCGGCGAGAACAUCACCUCUGGUCAUUUUGUAGUAGGAGACCACGAUUGGUUACUCGAGUACUACCCCAAUGGCUUGGACCCGAGCUGCGCCGACUACAUUUCCGUCUAUCUGACCCUUCUCUAUGACUCCGAUGUCGACGAGGAGGAAGUGGAGGUGAAGUUCAGUUUCAGUCUCAUCAACCAGGUCGAGAAGCAGAUGCCAACGUACAUUCGUGGAACUAAAACUUACAGCUUCUCCAGCAGCGUUCCAAUGUGGGGCAUCGGCAAGUUCGUGAGAAGACGCACCCUUGAGCAGUCCCCGGAUCUGAUAUGUGAUUGUUUUACCAUCCGUUGCGACAUCAUGGUUUGCAAGGACCCCAGAAGUAAGGAUGAUGCCGGUGGCACCCUGCCUGACAUACACCAGCAUUUUAGCAAUCUCCUUGAUGAUAAGCUUGGUGCUGAUGUGGCAUUUGAGGUCGGCGGUGAGACGUUCGCCGCACACCGCUGCGUGCUCGCAGCCCGAUCCACAGUGUUCAGGGCACAACUCUUUGGUCCCAUGAAGGAGGGCACUGCCACGUCCAGCAUCAUACAGAUCAAAGACAUGGAAGCAAAAGUGUUCAGGGCUUUGCUUAGCUUCGUCUACACAGACUCAUUCCCUGAGAUGUACAAGGACAUCAUGGAGGAGAAUCACAUGAUAGAUUUUGAGGAACAAGAACAAGCAGAUGAAGAUGAAAUGUCAGAAGCUGUGGAACCAGGACAAGAUGAGCAUGAAAUUUGGCUGCAGGACUUGUUGGUAGCGGCAGACCGAUAUGAUCUCCAGCGGCUCAAGUUCAUCUGUGAAAAGCGGUUAUCUGAGCGGAUAGGUGUGAGCUCGGUGGCGUCCACUCUUGCUCUAGCUGAGAAGCAUCAUUGUCGUGGAUUGAAAGAGGCGUGCUUGGAGUUUAUCCAAGUCCAGUCUCCCUCGCGUUUGAAGAGAGUAAUGGCGACUAAUGGCUGGGAGCAUAUAAUCACGACAUAUCCCUCUGUUCUGAACGAGUUCAUCGCCAAGCUUAUUGCUUCAAGGCGGAAGUAA